CCUGAGACUUAGAGUCUCCUGAAGGAACGUUGAAGACGACGACGUUGAUAGGCCGGGUGUGUAAGCGCAGCGAUGCGUUGAGCUAACCGGUACUAAUGAACCGUGAGGCUUAACCUUACAACGCCGAAG
Molecule: ribosomal RNA, 129 nt
Filed under: Escherichia coli
Lineage: Bacteria; Pseudomonadati; Pseudomonadota; Gammaproteobacteria; Enterobacterales; Enterobacteriaceae
Also listed under: 6 other names
Description: partial 23S ribosomal RNA
Rfam family: Bacterial large subunit ribosomal RNA
Source: RNAcentral